Molecule: non-coding RNA, 76 nt
Organism: Paramuricea clavata
Lineage: Eukaryota; Metazoa; Cnidaria; Anthozoa; Malacalcyonacea; Plexauridae
Source: the annotation of a GenBank genome assembly
GACUCUGUAGCUCAGCUGAUUAAUAGAGCGCUGCACCGUAAUUGCAGGACCGCAGGUUCUAUUCCUGCCAGAGGGC